RNAcentral lists this non-coding RNA (45 nucleotides) under Trypanosoma brucei brucei. Lineage: Eukaryota; Euglenozoa; Kinetoplastea; Trypanosomatida; Trypanosomatidae. The record is from RNAcentral.
ACGAUGCAAAUAGUCUAUGGUACAGUCAGUAUAAGUGAUAUAUUA